GGAAGUAAAAGUCGAACAAGGUUUCCGUAGGUGAACCUGCGGAAGGAUCAUUAUUGUAUAACCGAGGUGCGAGGGCUGUCGCUGACCCGAAAGGUCGUGCACGCCCGAGUGCCCUCACACACAUCCAUCUCACCCCUAUGUGCACCACCGCGUGGGUCCCCCUUUGGCUUGUUCGGAGGGGGGCUUACGUUUUCACACAAACUUUGUAUGCAGUGUAGAAUGUAUUUUUUGUUUUUGCGAUCACGCAAUCAAUACAACUUUCAACAACGGAUCUCUAGGCUCUC
This 284-nucleotide unclassified non-coding RNA is filed under the name plant metagenome. RNAcentral's name for it is "partial contains small subunit ribosomal RNA and internal transcribed spacer 1". The stretch from base 1 to 53 matches the Rfam family "Eukaryotic small subunit ribosomal RNA", at positions 1778 to 1831 of the family's 1831-position model. The record is from RNAcentral.